AUGUGUCUUAAAGCUCCAAACCCCUAAUCACAUGGUUAUUCUUUCUGGUAUGGCCAGCCCCUACCCUGAGUCACCUGGUUAAUAUAAACUACGGAGGGGCCCACCAUGAAUAACAAAGACAAUCCCAUCGCUCAGGAAAUUCCAAGGGUUUCAAGGGUACCACCCAGGAACCAGGAACAAAGGCCAGACCUUUCUUUGCGUAAAGGUAAUUCUUCACUGUGCCACAGCCAAGCCGUCAGGAAAUCCUGUUAAGUCUACCUUCAAAACAUAUCCAAAAUCCCUGGGGAAGUCAGCACAACUUGACCAGGGCAACAUCAGGGAAGCUUCACAGAUAACAGGAGAAACCUAUAAUGGCAACUGCAAUUGUGUGCUGGUGUGAUUAACAAGGCCUGUAUUUCUUUUCACAUUAUGUACGUAAAUGAGACUUAGUAUUUGUAGAGUUUCUCAUUAUUUGAAAAUCAGUCUUAAGUUCACAAUUUUUCCAUCACUUUUUCAAAUUCACCAUAUUUCUGACUGUUCUAUGCCAUAAUAACACUGUGGUUUUCCACAAUCCUUCCUUAUUUGACAUUUAUUAACUCCAAAAACCAAAAAUAAAUUGGCACAGGUUGAAAUAUUUACAACACAAGCAAUAAAAAUGUAACAUUUAAAGUUCAUCAUGAUGCCAAAGUUUCAUGUUGCAUGCUGUCUGAGGUUAUUAGAACUUCUCUAACAAUAUCCUAUGACCAAGCUCUGAGUGACCUUAUUAAAAUAUAAAGUCUUUAAAGAACACUGAAAGAAGCUCAGCAUGUACCUGUAAUGUAUAGUUGACUGGGAGUUUUCUGCAAUAGUACAGUCGGGUGAUCUGA
This is a long non-coding RNA of Loxodonta africana (African savanna elephant), 845 nucleotides long. RefSeq lists it as uncharacterized. Lineage: Eukaryota; Metazoa; Chordata; Mammalia; Proboscidea; Elephantidae. The transcript is spliced from 3 exons. The record is from RefSeq and is a predicted model, not a curated record.